This 318-nucleotide unclassified non-coding RNA is filed under the name uncultured Fusarium. RNAcentral's name for it is "partial contains 5.8S ribosomal RNA, internal transcribed spacer 2, and large subunit ribosomal RNA". The stretch from base 1 to 102 matches the Rfam family "5.8S ribosomal RNA", at positions 53 to 154 of the family's 154-position model. The record is from RNAcentral. Lineage: Eukaryota; Fungi; Ascomycota; Sordariomycetes; Hypocreales; Nectriaceae.
AUGCGAUAAGUAAUGUGAAUUGCAGAAUUCAGUGAAUCAUCGAAUCUUUGAACGCACAUUGCGCCCGCCAGUAUUCUGGCGGGCAUGCCUGUUCGAGCGUCAUUUCAACCCUCAAGCCCCCGGGCUUGGUGUUGGGGAUCGGCACAAAGGCCUCGCCAGAGGACGCGCCGGCCCCUAAAUCUAGUGGCGGUCUCGCUGCAGCCUCCAUUGCGUAGUAGCUAACACCUCGCAACUGGAACGCGGCGCGGCCAAGCCGUUAAACCCCCAACUUUUCUGAAUGUUGACCUCGGAUCAGGUAGGAAUACCCGCUGAACUUAA